GAAGGGGGCUAGCGUUGUUCGGAAUUACUGGGCGUAAAGCGCGCGCAGGCGGUUUCUCAAGUCAGUGGUGAAAGCCCGGAGCUCAACUCCGGAACUGCCAUUGAAACUGUGAGACUUGAGGACGAGAGAGGUGAGUGGAAUUCCCAGUGUAGAGGUGAAAUUCGUAGAUAUUGGGAAGAACACCGGUGGCGAAGGCGGCUCACUGGCUCGUUUCUGACGCUCAGGCGCGACAGCGUGGGGAUCAAACAGGAUUAGAUACCCUGGUAGUCCACGCCGUAAACGAUGAACGCUAGCCGUUGGAUAGCUUGCUAUUCAGUGGCGCAGCUAACGCAUUAAGCGUUCCGCCUGGGGAGUACGGCCGCAA
Molecule: ribosomal RNA, 364 nt
Filed under: uncultured bacterium
Lineage: Bacteria
Description: bacterial SSU rRNA
Rfam family: Bacterial small subunit ribosomal RNA
Source: RNAcentral